RNAcentral lists this ribosomal RNA (304 nucleotides) under uncultured bacterium. RNAcentral describes it as "partial 16S ribosomal RNA". It matches the Rfam family "Bacterial small subunit ribosomal RNA", at positions 506 to 807 of the family's 1533-position model. The record is from RNAcentral.
CAGCAGUCGCCACGGUAAUACGAAGGGUGCAAGCGUUACUCGGAAUUACUGGGCGUAAAGCGUGCGUAGGUGGUGGUUUAAGUCCGUUGUGAAAGCCCUGGGCUCAACCUGGGAAUUGCAGUGGAUACUGGGUCACUAGAGUGUGGUAGAGGAUAGUGGAAUUUCCGGUGUAGCAGUGAAAUGCGUAGAGAUCGGAAGGAACAUCUGUGGCGAAGGCGACUAUCUGGGCCAACACUGACACUGAGGCACGAAAGCGUGGGGAGCAAACAGGAUUAGAUACCCCUGUAGUCCCUGUCUCUUAUAC